This 112-nucleotide ribosomal RNA is filed under the name Microscillaceae bacterium. The record is from RNAcentral. Lineage: Bacteria; Pseudomonadati; Bacteroidota; Cytophagia; Cytophagales; Microscillaceae.
AAUGGUGUUUAAGGCAAGGGUGAACACCUCUUCCCAUCCCGAACAGAGCCGUUAAGCCCCUUUGCGCCGAUGGUACUGCGGUCAAACGCGGAAGAGUAGGUCAAUGCCAGGU